AAGGUACGCCAGACGAUUGCUAUUGGCGCUCAUGCUCGUAGAGGAAAGUCCGGGCUGCUAUAAGACAAGGUUCCAUCUAACAGAUGGCUGAGGCAACUCAAGGGAAAGUGCAACAGAAAACAAACUACCGAGAAAUCGGAAAAGGUGAAACGGCGGGGCAAGAGCCCACCAGCGUCUUUAGCAAUUUAGACGGCUUUGUAAACCCAACCUGCAGCAAGAAGGGGUGGUAAGUCUUAUGAUUGUACCCUUCGCUAAAACCACGCCGC
This 266-nucleotide RNase P RNA is filed under the name Campylobacteraceae bacterium. RNAcentral describes it as "partial RNase P RNA component class A". It matches the Rfam family "Bacterial RNase P class A", at positions 1 to 293 of the family's 367-position model. Rfam says of the family: Ribonuclease P (RNase P) is a ubiquitous endoribonuclease, found in archaea, bacteria and eukarya as well as chloroplasts and mitochondria. Its best characterised activity is the generation of mature 5'-ends of tRNAs by cleaving the 5'-leader elements of precursor-tRNAs. The record is from RNAcentral. Lineage: Bacteria; Pseudomonadati; Campylobacterota; Epsilonproteobacteria; Campylobacterales; Campylobacteraceae.